Molecule: ribosomal RNA, 329 nt
Filed under: uncultured eukaryote
Lineage: Eukaryota
Description: partial 18S ribosomal RNA
Rfam family: Eukaryotic small subunit ribosomal RNA
Source: RNAcentral
CCCUUAGAUGUUCUGGGCCGCACGCGCGCUACAAUGAUGAAUUCAACGAGUUUAUAACCUUGGUUGAAAAGCCUGGGUAAUCUUUUGAACUUUCGUCGUGAUGGGGCUAGACCCUUGCAAUUAUUGGUCUCCAACGAGGAAUUCCUAGUAAACGCAAGUCAUCAGCUUGCAUUGAUUACGUCCCUGCCCUUUGUACACACCGCCCGUCGCUCCUACCGAUUGAAUGAUCCGAUGAAUAUCAUGGAUUGAGGAUGCAAGCAGGUUCGCCUGUCUUCAUCUUCGAGAAGUGAAGUAAAUCUUAUCAUUUAGAGGAAGGAGAAGUCGUAACA